GUACUACGAGUUACUGCAGGAACAAAGUGUAGAGAGAGCGGCGGCAGUCCAGCCCAUCCUCCUGAGGAAGAGGAGGAUGUGCUCACUCACAGCUGCAGCUUCCGGAAACUAGACAGCAGCAGACUGCACAGAGACAGGACGUGUACAGUUUCACAAAAGUGCCCUGCUGGCAAAGCAAGUCUGUGCUUCAGUGUUGGCGUCGAUAUCUGAUGGUGAAUCUUGGUCUUCAGACACGCGGAUGGACUGUACACACUACUGCACGCCUUCACGGCCAGCCUUCCUCACCGACCGUCCACACGGUUGUCCUCGUGUUUGGGAGCUGUUGGCGGGAGUCAGAGAGGACCUAUGUGCCCGAGGAUCAUUUCAGAGAGACACAGAGCACUUCGCUCUCCAUUCACAGUUUGUGUCUGAGACUUUGAGAACUGAGGAUCACAGAGACAGCAAUAGAUGUGACAAGGAAGGUGGACUGUACACACGACUGCGCACCAACAGGGUUUCCUCCUGCCACCUUUCCUCCCCAGCCGUCCCUGAAUCGACGCCGUAGCCUGACGCGCACCUCCCCAGAAAUAUGUGUGGCAGCAACACGGACCUCCUGUCUAUUUUUGUAAGCUGUUAGAUAUCAUGAGUUACACACUUUAUAUCUUAACUUUAUACAUGUUAUGAGUUUGUUGUCCGUUCACACAUAAUAUUUUUUUCCUUAUCGUACAUACCUUAUAUUUUUCAGUUUCAGCCACUGUAUGUGCAGGUUUGUCUCGAUAUAUAACAAUUCUUAUUAUAUUUGUCUGUUGUUUCCUUUUUAUUUAUUUGGCAUUGAACCUUAUUAUUAUUACUAAAUAUAUAAAUUAUUUGUAAUAGACAUUUAUGUCAUUUUUA
Epinephelus moara (kelp grouper) is the source of this 873-nucleotide long non-coding RNA. RefSeq lists it as uncharacterized. The transcript is spliced from 2 exons. NCBI's taxonomy places the organism in Eukaryota, Metazoa, Chordata, Actinopteri, Perciformes, Serranidae. The record is from RefSeq and is a predicted model, not a curated record.